Molecule: ribosomal RNA, 200 nt
Filed under: uncultured bacterium
Lineage: Bacteria
Description: partial 16S ribosomal RNA
Rfam family: Bacterial small subunit ribosomal RNA
Source: RNAcentral
AGCGAACGCUGGCGGCAGGCUUAACACAUGCAAGUCGAGCGCCCCGCAAGGGGAGCGGCAGACGGGUGAGUAACGCGUGGGAAUCUACCCUUUUCUACGGAAUAACGCAGGGAAACUUGUGCUAAUACCGUAUGAGCCCUUCGGGGGAAAGAUUUAUCGGGAAAGGAUGAGCCCGCGUUGGAUUAGCUAGUUGGUGGGGU